UAGGAACUAGGAGCCGGGAGACAGUUUCUCUUGUGUUCUCAAUGUCCCUGCAGCUGCGCCUAGACCACAUGAUGAAGGAGGAGAUGGUAGCCUGUCUCAACUAUAGAGGGGAUUGGUGCCUUACUUUGUAAAUAUCAACAAUGGAAUCUAAUCUAUAGCAGGGUAUACAAAUAUUGGACCAGUCAGAAAGAGGCAAAGCAGCUGCUCUGGCCCAGGCAGUCCCACAACACCACAAAACUCAAGGAGAAAGAGCUCAAAAGAGGAGCAUACCAGCUCAGUGAGGCAGCAGAC
Mauremys reevesii (Reeves's turtle) is the source of this 291-nucleotide long non-coding RNA. RefSeq lists it as uncharacterized. Lineage: Eukaryota; Metazoa; Chordata; Testudines; Geoemydidae. The record is from RefSeq and is a predicted model, not a curated record. The transcript has 3 exons.